GCGUGUUUACUGUGCAUUAUAAUUUAAGUAUGACAAUCAAUAUAUCAUAUAAUUUAUUGACUUGCAAUAAAUUUGAAAUUUCUAUGUGGGAAAGGAGUGCGGCGGAAUUGGGACUGGUAGGAGGAUAUGAAGGCAAAUUUCGCCUUACCA
This is a long non-coding RNA of Metopolophium dirhodum (rose-grain aphid), 150 nucleotides long. RefSeq lists it as uncharacterized. NCBI's taxonomy places the organism in Eukaryota, Metazoa, Arthropoda, Insecta, Hemiptera, Aphididae. The transcript is spliced from 3 exons. The record is from RefSeq and is a predicted model, not a curated record.